UGGCACACAUCAAUGUCCACGUUUUU
Molecule: microRNA, 26 nt
Filed under: Tribolium castaneum (red flour beetle)
Lineage: Eukaryota; Metazoa; Arthropoda; Insecta; Coleoptera; Tenebrionidae
Description: tca-miR-3804a-5p
Source: miRBase by way of RNAcentral